GUAUAAAUAAUAUAUAAGUAAUAUUAUAGGAUCUCAAAAUUUUGAGUUAAGGCCCUUAAAAUUUGGAGGCCCUAUGCCGUCGCACACCUCGCACAUGCAUGCGAGCCUCCUCUGAGGAGGAGGAGAUGGUGCAGGAAGGUGACGAAAGUUCAGUAAUGAAGGUUCGAUGCCCGACUUGAGUAAAUCCUUAUGAAGGACAGCCUGUGCCUAAGGAGUUUCCUGGGGGCCGUUGGAUACGUCAGUAUUGUAUGAUUAUGGAGCGCCGCAUAUUGCGAGAUGCAUUUAUGACAACAAAGACCGUGACAUGAUUACGCCGGUCAGCAACGAGACAAAGAUGAAUUCGAUUGUUUAUUUUGUUAAUGACUUCAAAUGGGUGGCACGCAACCAUGGACACCAUAGGAAUGUAUGGCUGAAACUAACUGGAUACUUGUUUCUUGAUCCCGCAUUGUUGUCUACUUUUGUGGAGCGAUGGCACGGGGAGACCAGUAGCUUCCAUAUGCCGAGCAGAGAGAUGACAAUCACGCUAGAUGACGUGUGCUGUCUUGUGCAUCUACCCAUUAAGGGACGUCUGCUAGACCAUAAAGGUAUCCCGACCAAAACUGAGGGUGUUGAGUUAAUGAUUAAGCAUAUGGGAUCAACUCGGGAGGAAGCUGAGCACGAGGUUAAAACAACCAAGGGUGCACAUCCAAGGUUCGUAUAUUUGAAGGAACUCAUCAAAAAACACACGUAAGUAGUCAACAAAAUUGAGGUGGAUGGUGAUAAGGACACUUUUGAGAGGUAUAAGGGAUAUAUUACGAGGGCGUACCUCUUAUUGUUGGUUGGAACCACUAUCUUCUCUAACAAGGCAAAGAACAACGUGGACCUGACAUACUUAAAGUAUUUCAUAGAUCUGGAUCAGGUUCACACAUAUGCGUGGGGCACUGCUGCACUGGCAUUCCUUUACCGGGAGUUGACAAACGCCACUAUUCCGUCCUGCAAAUAUGUGGCUGGAUACAUGACGCUGCUACAGGCUUGGAUCUACGACUACUUUUUGGACAACGGAGGGUCUUUGGAUACGCAAUACGAACAACAAUACCACCGAGAUGUUUGCCCCUUUGAGGAUAUAACUUUGUACUCCGGUUGCAUCAGUUGUGGGCCGAUCAAAGUAAGGUAUCUACCAGAGCGGGUGUUACGGUAGUGUGGCUACGUGUAGACCAUUCCCCGUCAUCCAGAUUCCGCUGCGAAUAUAUUGGACACAGUAGAUCGUAUUGAUCAGCAUUGGCUCAAUUACACGGAUCGCGUUCUGACUUUUGAUAUGCUUGGCAGCCGUGCUACUAUUUUGUCAGACACUGCCCCCGGAUACAUGUCGUGGUAUUUCAGGAUAUCACAUCCUUACAUCGUCUAUAUCCCGAUGAGUCUGAUGCAGCAACCUAUGCCUGUUGAGUCUGAUGCUGCUAUGCUUGGUAGAUUGGCCAGCAUCCGGGAAAUACUCAACGGUGUUAUGCACAUCGAUGAAGUUCCAAACAACUCUCGUGUUUACAAUGAACUCCAGUCUGCAUACACUUUGACAUUUGUACUGAAUCAGGGUGAACCCAGUUCUAGUAGUCAGCAUUAGGAAAGAUUAUUUUUAACUCUGGUUGUUUUAUUUUGUAUCUAUUUGAUGCUUUGGAAUUGUUUGGAUAUUAAUUAGUUUAACGUUGUUCGCGAUAUU
This is a long non-coding RNA of Trifolium pratense (red clover), 1690 nucleotides long. RefSeq lists it as uncharacterized. The transcript is spliced from 3 exons. NCBI's taxonomy places the organism in Eukaryota, Viridiplantae, Streptophyta, Magnoliopsida, Fabales, Fabaceae. The record is from RefSeq and is a predicted model, not a curated record.